RNAcentral lists this transfer RNA (75 nucleotides) under Acidobacteriota bacterium. Its description in RNAcentral is "Acidobacteria bacterium (soil metagenome) tRNA-Cys". It matches the Rfam family "tRNA". Rfam says of the family: Transfer RNA (tRNA) molecules are approximately 80 nucleotides in length. Their secondary structure includes four short double-helical elements and three loops (D, anti-codon, and T loops). Further hydrogen bonds mediate the characteristic L-shaped molecular structure. tRNAs have two regions of fundamental functional importance: the anti-codon, which is responsible for specific mRNA codon recognition, and the 3' end, to which the tRNAs corresponding amino acid is attached (by aminoacyl-tRNA synthetases). tRNAs cope with the degeneracy of the genetic code in two manners: having more than one tRNA (with a specific anti-codon) for a particular amino acid; and 'wobble' base-pairing, i.e. permitting non-standard base-pairing at the 3rd anti-codon position. The record is from RNAcentral. Lineage: Bacteria; Pseudomonadati; Acidobacteriota.
GCGCGCGUCGCCAAGCGGCUAAGGCACCGGAUUGCAAAUCCGGCAUCGUGAGUUCGAAUCUCGCCGCGCGCUCCA